CAGCUGGAGCACGGCGUCGUAGAUGGUGGUGGUGGUGCUGUUGACGAGGGUGUCCCAGCUGAUGGCUGCCGGGGGGAUGGUGAGCGGCGUGGUGUUGCUGGGGAGCUCGGCCGUGGCUUCCCUGGCCACAGACCCCUUGGGCCCGACGACCAUGUCGUCGAUGGGGAAGGUGACGGUGACGGUGGUGUUGGGCAUGAUCUUGACGAGCAGGAUCGCCUGGACGUGACCGGUGUAGUAGACGGCGGUGCGGUCGCUGGGGUUGGAGGCCCGGAGGCUGAGCACGAACCGGAGGAGCCUGCUGGCCGGCGU
This 309-nucleotide long non-coding RNA is filed under the name Oryza brachyantha (malo sina). RNAcentral's name for it is "long non-coding RNA (OBRA_LNC001560)". Lineage: Eukaryota; Viridiplantae; Streptophyta; Magnoliopsida; Poales; Poaceae. The record is from RNAcentral.